AACGGAAAGGCCCUGCUUGCAGGGUACUCGAGUGGCGAACGGGUGAGUAACACGUGGGUGAUCUGCCCUGCACUUCGGGAUAAGCUUGGGAAACUGGGUCUAAUACCGGAUAGGAACCAUCUUUAGUGUGGUGGUUGGAAAGUUUUUUCGGUGUAGGAUGAGCUCGCGGCCUAUCAGCUUGUUGGUGGGGUAAUGGCCUACCAAGGCGGCGACGGGUAGCCGGCCUGAGAGGGUGUACGGCCACAUUGGGACUGAGAUACGGCCCAGACUCCUACGGGAGGCAGCAGUGGGGAAUAUUGCACAAUGGGCGCAAGCCUGAUGCAGCGACGCCGCGUGGGGGAUGAAGGCCUUCGGGUUGUAAACUCCUUUCGCUAGGGACGAAGCUUUUUGUGACGGUACCUAGAUAAGAAGCACCGGCUAACUACGUGCCAGCAGCCGCGGUAAUACGUAGGGUGCGAGCGUUGUCCGGAAUUACUGGGCGUAAAGGGCUCGUAGGUGGUUUGUCGCGUCGUCUGUGAAUUCUGGGGCUUAACUCCGGGCGUGCAGGCGAUACGGGCAUAACUUGAGUGCUGUAGGGGUAACUGGAAUUCCUGGUGUAGCGGUGAAAUGCGCAGAUAUCAGGAGGAACACCGAUGGCGAAGGCAGGUUACUGGGCAGUUACUGACGCUGAGGAGCGAA
Molecule: ribosomal RNA, 678 nt
Filed under: uncultured Actinomycetales bacterium
Lineage: Bacteria; Bacillati; Actinomycetota; Actinomycetes; Actinomycetales
Description: bacterial SSU rRNA
Rfam family: Bacterial small subunit ribosomal RNA
Source: RNAcentral